RNAcentral lists this ribosomal RNA (497 nucleotides) under uncultured bacterium. Its description in RNAcentral is "partial 16S ribosomal RNA". It matches the Rfam family "Bacterial small subunit ribosomal RNA", at positions 28 to 507 of the family's 1533-position model. The record is from RNAcentral.
GAUGAACGCUGGCGGCGUGCCUAACACAUGCAAGUCGAGCGAACGGACGUGUUGCUUGUUUCUCUGAUGUUAGCGGCGCACGGGUGAGCAACCUGUGGAUAACCUCCCUAUAAGACUGGGACUACUUCUGGAACCCGGAGUUAAUACCGGAUAAUAGUUUGAACCGCAUGGUUCACAAGCGACAGAUUGUCUUGCUGUCACUUAUAUAUGUUUCCGCGCUGCAUUAGCUAGUCGGUAAGGUAACGCCUUACCAAGGCACCGAUGCAUAGCCGACCUGAGAGAGGGAUCGGCGACACUGGAACUGAGACACGGUCCAGACUGCUACGGGAGGCAGCAGUAGGGAAUCUUCCGCAAUAGGCGAAAGCCUGACGGAGCAACGCCGCGUGAGUGAUGAAGGUCUUCGGGUCGUGAAACUCUGUUAUUAGGGAAGAACAUAUGUGUAAGUAACUGUGGACAUAAUGACGGUACCUAAUCAGAAAGCCACGGCUAACUACGUG